GACGAACGCUGGCGGCCUUUCUAACACAUGCAAGUCGAACGGAGAUAGCAAUAUCUUAGUGGCGGACGGGUGAGUAAUGGAUGAGUAAUCUGCCUCAUACACUGGGAUAACACAGAGAAAUUUGUGCUAAUACCGGAUGAGACCACACUACCGCAUGGUAGAGGGGUCAAAGGGCUUUACUGGUAUGAGAUGAGCUCAUCUCCCAUUAGCUAGUUGGUAAGAUAACAGCCUACCAAGGCGACGAUGGGUAGCCGGCCUGAGAGGGUGAACGGCCACAUUGGAACUUAGACACGGUCCAAACUCCUACGGGAGGCAGCAGUGGGGAAUAUUGGGCAAUGGGCGAAAGCCUGACCCAGCAAUGCCGCGUGAGUGAAGAAGGUCUUCGGAUUGUAAAGCUCUUUGAUUAGGGACGAAAAAAUGACUGUACCUAAAGAACAAGCCCCGGCUAACUACGUGCCAGCAGCCGCGGUAAUACGUAGGGGGCAAGCGUUGUCCGGAAUUAUUGGGCGUAAAGGGUGCGUAGGUGGUUUAGCAAGUUGGAAGUGAAAUACCCAGGGCUUAACUCGGGUGCUGCUUUCAAAACUACUAGACUUGAGUGUGGGAGAGAAUAGUGGAGUUCCUAGUGUAGCGGUGGAAUGCGUAGAUAUUAGGAGGAACACCAGUGGCGAAGGCGACUAUUUGGCCCAUAACUGACACUGAGGCACGAAAGCGUGGGGAGCAAACAGG
Molecule: ribosomal RNA, 726 nt
Filed under: uncultured bacterium
Lineage: Bacteria
Description: bacterial SSU rRNA
Rfam family: Bacterial small subunit ribosomal RNA
Source: RNAcentral